This 465-nucleotide ribosomal RNA is filed under the name uncultured bacterium. Its description in RNAcentral is "partial 16S ribosomal RNA". It matches the Rfam family "Bacterial small subunit ribosomal RNA", at positions 338 to 795 of the family's 1533-position model. The record is from RNAcentral.
CCUACGGGUGGCAGCAGUGGGGAAUAUUGCGCAAUGGGCGAAAGCCUGACGCAGCGACGCCGCGUGAGGGAUGAAGGUCUUCGGAUCGUAAACCUCUGUCAGCAGGGAAGAACGGUCACUGUGCUAAUCAGCAGUGAAUUGACGGUACCUGCAAAGGACUCACCGGCUAACUCCGUGCCAGCAGCCGCGGUAAUCCGGAGGGUGCGAGCGUUAAUCGGAAUUACUGGGCGUAAGGCGCUCGUAGGCGGUAUGUCAAGUAAAGGGUGAAAUCCCCGCGCUCAACGUGGGAACUGCCGUUGAAACUGGCAGACUGGAGUGUGUCAGAGGAUAGUGGAAUUCCAGGUGUAGGAGUGAAAUCCGUAGAUAUCUGGAGGAACAUCAGUGGCGAAGGCGACUAUCUGGCACAUAACUGACGCUGAGGAGCGAAAGCGUGGGUAGCAAACAGGAUUAGAUACCCCUGUAGUC